This 257-nucleotide ribosomal RNA is filed under the name uncultured bacterium. RNAcentral's name for it is "partial 16S ribosomal RNA". It matches the Rfam family "Bacterial small subunit ribosomal RNA", at positions 524 to 778 of the family's 1533-position model. The record is from RNAcentral.
UACAGAGGGGGGCAAGCGUUGUUCGGAAUUACUGGGCGUAAAGGGCGCGUAGGCGGCCUUCUAAGUCGAACGUGAAAUCCCCGGGCUCAACCCGGGAACUGCGUCCGAUACUGGCAGGCUUGAAUUCGGGAGAGGGAUGCGGAAUUCCAGGUGUAGCGGUGAAAUGCGUAGAUAUCUGGAGGAACACCGGUGGCGGAAGGCGGCAUCCUGGACCGAGAUUGACGCUGAGGCGCGAAAGCCAGGGGAGCAAAACGGGG